Molecule: ribosomal RNA, 459 nt
Filed under: uncultured bacterium
Lineage: Bacteria
Description: partial 16S ribosomal RNA
Rfam family: Bacterial small subunit ribosomal RNA
Source: RNAcentral
CCUACGGGUGGCAGCAGUGAGGAAUAUUGGUCAAUGGACGAGAGUCUGAACCAGCCAAGUAGCGUGAAGGAUGACUGCCCUAUGGGUUGUAAACUUCUUUUAUAAAGGAAUAAAACGAGGCACGUGUGCCUUUUUGCAUGUACUUUAUGAAUAAGGAUCGGCUAACUCCGUGCCAGCAGCCGCGGUAAUACGGAGGAUCCGAGCGUUAUCCGAUUUAUUGGGUUUAAAGGGAGCGUAGAUGGGUUGUUAAGGCCGUUGUGAAAGUUUGCGGCUCAAACGUAAAAUUGCAAUUGAUACUGGCAGUCGUGAGUACAGUUGAGGUAGGCGGAAUUCGUGGUGUAGCGGUGAAAUGCUUAGAUAUCACGAAGAACCCCGAUUGCGAAGGCAGCUUACUAAACUGUGACUGACAUUGAUGCUCGAAAGUGUGGGUAUCAAACAGGAUUAGAUACCCGGGUAGUC